RNAcentral lists this ribosomal RNA (468 nucleotides) under uncultured bacterium. RNAcentral's name for it is "partial 16S ribosomal RNA". It matches the Rfam family "Bacterial small subunit ribosomal RNA", at positions 28 to 507 of the family's 1533-position model. The record is from RNAcentral.
GACGAACGCUGGCGGCGUGCUUAACACAUGCAAGUCGAACGGAAAGGCCCUGCUUUUGUGGGGUGCUCGAGUGGCGAACGGGUGAGUAACACGUGAGUAACCUGCCCUUGACUUUGGGAUAACUUCAGGAAACUGGGGCUAAUACCGGAUAGGAGCUCCUGCUGCAUGGGGGGGGUUGGAAAGUUUCGGCGGUUGGGGAUGGACUCGCGGCUUAUCAGCUUGUUGGUGGGGUAGUGGCUUACCAAGGCUUUGACGGGUAGCCGGCAUGGGAGGGUGACCGGCCACAUGGGGACUAAGAUAGGGCCCAGACGCCUACGUGAGGCAGCAGGCGGGAAUAUUGCACAGUGGGCGCAAGCCUGAGGCAGAGACGCCGCGAGCGGGAAGACGGCCUUCGGGUGGUAAACCGCUUUCGCCUGAGACGAAGCGUGAUUGACGGUAAUGAGUAAAGAAGCACCGGCUAACUACGUG